Molecule: ribosomal RNA, 445 nt
Filed under: uncultured bacterium
Lineage: Bacteria
Description: bacterial SSU rRNA
Rfam family: Bacterial small subunit ribosomal RNA
Source: RNAcentral
GUGAGGAAUAUUGGUCAAUGGGCGCAAGCCUGAACCAGCCAUCCCGCGUGAAGGAUGAAGGCCUUAUGGGUUGUAAACUUCUUUUGUACCUGAAGAAACCCUUCUACGUGUAGGAGGUUGCCGGUAAGGUACGAAUAAGCAUCGGCUAACUCCGUGCCAGCAGCCGCGGUAAUACGGAGGAUGCAAGCGUUAUCCGGAUUUAUUGGGUUUAAAGGGUGCGCAGGUGGUUGAAUAAGUCAGUGGUGAAAGUCUGCCGCUUAACGGUAGGAUUGCCAUUGAUACUGUUUAACUUGAGUUUGGAUGAGGUAGGCGGAAUGUGUAGUGUAGCGGUGAAAUGCAUAGAUAUUACACAGAACACCGAUUGCGAAGGCAGCUUACUAAUCCACUACUGACACUGAGGCACGAAAGCGUGGGGAUCAAACAGGAUUAGAAACCCUAGUAGUCC